Molecule: long non-coding RNA, 405 nt
Organism: Dreissena polymorpha
Lineage: Eukaryota; Metazoa; Mollusca; Bivalvia; Myida; Dreissenidae
Exons: 3
Source: RefSeq, a predicted model, not a curated record
UACAGAACCAUUGUCACUUACUUAGGAUAAACAGUUUGAGCAACAAUUCAGGUUAUGAAUUAAUGAAAUUUGUGUUUGGUUUUGUUUACUCAUUUCAUUCGGAUUUUUGCGUUUGGACAAGACAAGGAAACGAUGAUGGUCAGCAAAAUUAACAACCGUAUCUUAAAAGAUUGUCUUGUAUCGCUAUUGGUGGUGUUGGUAUGCUGUUCAAAAGUAUUAGAUUCUAGUCCUUUAAAACGAUACUGUGAUGUCUACAACCCGUUCUGCAGAUGUCCACAGUACAACAACGGAUGUUAUGAAUGCCCCGCCUCAUGCCAAACAGGAAACCACUCUUCGGUUGCGAGUACAUCAGAACAAAUCUCCUUCAGCAACUUCAAUCCUGGAGAAUUACCGACACAUGCAGGU